GUAAAUGCAUUGAAAAGAAGAGUAGUAAAUGAAAGUGUCAAAAAGAGAGCCAGAGUAGGUGAAAGCUGGUGACAUGGAAAUUUAUGAACAUGGUCUUGGAGCGGGCUAUCUGAAUAUUUUAGGAUAGCACGGAAGCAGCCGUUAUACUGCAAGGUGAUAAAAUUGAUUAUGCAAUCAAGGAGUCACUUUUUGAGGUUUUUUCUGUGAGGGAAAAACAAAUUAGAGUGGUAACGCGUAAACUACGCCUCUAAG
This 252-nucleotide non-coding RNA is filed under the name Clostridium homopropionicum. RNAcentral describes it as "T-box sequence". It matches the Rfam family "T-box leader". From Rfam's summary of the family: Uncharged tRNA acts as the effector for transcription antitermination of genes in the T-box leader family. T-boxes are found upstream of many aminoacyl-tRNA synthetase genes and some amino acid biosynthetic genes usually in Gram-positive bacteria. Lineage: Bacteria; Bacillati; Bacillota; Clostridia; Eubacteriales; Clostridiaceae. The record is from RNAcentral.